GCUUUAGAAAGAUAACAGACAUCUAUU
RNAcentral lists this transfer RNA (27 nucleotides) under Gymnura australis (Australian butterfly ray). RNAcentral's name for it is "partial tRNA-Leu". The record is from RNAcentral. Lineage: Eukaryota; Metazoa; Chordata; Chondrichthyes; Myliobatiformes; Gymnuridae.